RNAcentral lists this small RNA (1504 nucleotides) under uncultured Arctic sea ice bacterium. Its description in RNAcentral is "bacterial SSU rRNA". The stretch from base 1 to 994 matches the Rfam family "Bacterial small subunit ribosomal RNA", at positions 528 to 1533 of the family's 1533-position model. The record is from RNAcentral.
AAGGGACCUAGCGUAGUUCGGAAUUACUGGGCUUAAAGAGUUCGUAGGUGGUUGAAAAAGUUGGUGGUGAAAUCCCAGAGCUUAACUCUGGAACUGCCAUCAAAACUUUUCAGCUAGAGUAUGAUAGAGGAAAGCAGAAUUUCUAGUGUAGAGGUGAAAUUCGUAGAUAUUAGAAAGAAUACCAAUUGCGAAGGCAGCUUUCUGGAUCAUUACUGACACUGAGGAACGAAAGCAUGGGUAGCGAAGAGGAUUAGAUACCCUCGUAGUCCAUGCCGUAAACGAUGUGUGUUAGACGUUGGAAAUUUAUUUUCAGUGUCGCAGCGAAAGCGAUAAACACACCGCCUGGGGAGUACGACCGCAAGGUUAAAACUCAAAUGAAUUGACGGGGACCCGCACAAGUAGUGGAGCAUGUGGUUUAAUUCGAAGAUACGCGCAGAACCUUACCAACACUUGACAUGUUCGUCGCGACUCUAAGAGAUUAGAGUUUUCGGUUCGGCCGGACGAAACACAGGUGCUGCAUGGCUGUCGUCAGCUCGUGUCGUGAGAUGUUGGGUUAAGUCCCGCAACGAGCGCAACCCUCACUUUUAGUUGCCAUCAUUAAGUUGGGCACUCUGAAAGAACUGCCAGUGAUAAGCUGGAGGAAGGUGGGGAUGACGUCAAGUCCUCAUGGCCCUUAUGUGUUGGGCUACACACGUGCUACAAUGGCAUCUACAACAGGAAGCAAAACGGCAACGUUAAGCAAAUCCCGAAAAGAUGCCUCAGUUCGGAUUGCACUCUGCAACUCGAGUGCAUGAAGCUGGAAUUACUAGUAAUCGUGGAUCAGCGUGCCACGGUGAAUGCGUUCCCGGGUCUUGUACACACCGCCCGUCACACCAUGGGAGUUGGUUCUACCUUAAGGCAAGGUUUAAUACCCUUGACCACGGUAUAGUCAGCGACUGGGGUGAAGUCGUAACAAGGUAGCCGUAGGGGAACCCGCGGCUGGAUUACCUCCUUUCUAAGGAUGAGUGAAAAGGAAAAAUUUCACUCUAAAUAAUAUACAUCGGUAAUGUUGACCGUCCUCAUUUCUCUUCUUAAAGUAAUGUUUCCUUCUUGUAGGGCCGGUAGCUCAGUUGGUUAGAGCACACCCUUGAUAAGGGUGGGGUCGAAAGUUCGAGUCUUUCUCGGCCCACCAAACUUAAAUGGGGGAUUAGCUCAUCUGGGAGAGCGCCUGAUUUGCAUUCAGGAGGUAGCAGGUUCGAUCCCUGUAUCCUCCACCAGGAAACAUUUAGCUAUUAAAAUCGUAAAUAAAAAUAAUUUAUAUCAAUAUCUAUAUCCGAGCAUUAAAAAGUUAUUAUUUAAUGUUCAAAAUAAAAAUUUGAUCACAACACAGAAUAAAGUUUUUUCUGUGCAUAAAUCAAGCGUUUAAGGGCGUGUGGCGGAUGCCUUGGCACUGAAAGCCGAUGAAGGACGUGAUAUACUGCGAUAAGUUUCGGGGAGCUGUAUGUAAGCUUUGAUCCGAAAAUUU